AGAGUUUGAUCCUGGCUCAGGAUGAACGCUGGCGGCGUGCUUAACACAUGCAAGUCGAGCGAUGAAGUUUCCUUCGGGAAACGGAUUAGCGGCGGACGGGUGAGUAACACGUGGGUAACCUGCCUCAUAGAGUGGAAUAGCCUUCCGAAAGGAAUAUUAAUACCGCAUAAUGUUGAAAGAUGGCAUCAUCAUUCAACCAAAGGAGCAAUCCGCUAUGAGAUGGACCCGCGGCGCAUUAGCUAGUUGGUGGGGUAACGGCCUACCAAGGCGACGAUGCGUAGCCGACCUGAGAGGGUGAUCGGCCACAUUGGGACUGAGACACGGCCCAGACUCCUACGGGAGGCAGCAGUGGGGAAUAUUGCACAAUGGGGGAAACCCUGAUGCAGCAACGCCGCGUGAGUGAUGAAGGUUUUCGGAUCGUAAAGCUCUGUCUUUGGGGAAGAUAAUGACGGUACCCAAGGAGGAAGCCACGGCUAACUACGUGCCAGCAGCCGCGGU
This 498-nucleotide ribosomal RNA is filed under the name Clostridium sp. A4-93. RNAcentral's name for it is "bacterial SSU rRNA". It matches the Rfam family "Bacterial small subunit ribosomal RNA", at positions 8 to 521 of the family's 1533-position model. Lineage: Bacteria; Bacillati; Bacillota; Clostridia; Eubacteriales; Clostridiaceae. The record is from RNAcentral.